This 1018-nucleotide ribosomal RNA is filed under the name Lactiplantibacillus plantarum. Its description in RNAcentral is "bacterial SSU rRNA". It matches the Rfam family "Bacterial small subunit ribosomal RNA", at positions 8 to 1007 of the family's 1533-position model. The record is from RNAcentral. Lineage: Bacteria; Bacillati; Bacillota; Bacilli; Lactobacillales; Lactobacillaceae.
AGAGUUUGAUCCUGGCUCAGGGCGUGGGGCAGCUAUACAUGCAGUCGAACGAACUCUGGUAUUGAUUGGUGCUUGCAUCAUGAUUUACAUUUGAGUGAGUGGCGAACUGGUGAGUAACACGUGGGAAACCUGCCCAGAAGCGGGGGAUAACACCUGGAAACAGAUGCUAAUACCGCAUAACAACUUGGACCGCAUGGUCCGAGUUUGAAAGAUGGCUUCGGCUAUCACUUUUGGAUGGUCCCGCGGCGUAUUAGCUAGAUGGUGGGGUAACGGCUCACCAUGGCAAUGAUACGUAGCCGACCUGAGAGGGUAAUCGGCCACAUUGGGACUGAGACACGGCCCAAACUCCUACGGGAGGCAGCAGUAGGGAAUCUUCCACAAUGGACGAAAGUCUGAUGGAGCAACGCCGCGUGAGUGAAGAAGGGUUUCGGCUCGUAAAACUCUGUUGUUAAAGAAGAACAUAUCUGAGAGUAACUGUUCAGGUAUUGACGGUAUUUAACCAGAAAGCCACGGCUAACUACGUGCCAGCAGCCGCGGUAAUACGUAGGUGGCAAGCGUUGUCCGGAUUUAUUGGGCGUAAAGCGAGCGCAGGCGGUUUUUUAAGUCUGAUGUGAAAGCCUUCGGCUCAACCGAAGAAGUGCAUCGGAAACUGGGAAACUUGAGUGCAGAAGAGGACAGUGGAACUCCAUGUGUAGCGGUGAAAUGCGUAUAUAUAUGGAAGAACACCAGUGGCGAAGGCGGCUGUCUGGUCUGUAACUGACGCUGAGGCUCGAAAGUAUGGGUAGCAAACAGGAUUAGAUACCCUGGUAGUCCAUACCGUAAACGAUGAAUGCUAAGUGUUGGAGGGUUUCCGCCCUUCACUGCUGCAGCUAACGCAUUAAGCAUUCCGCCUGGGGAGUACGGCCGCAAGGCUGAAACUCAAGGAAUUGACGGGGCCGCACAGCGGUGGAGCAUGUGGUUUAAUUCGAAGCUACCGAGAACCUUACCAGGUCUUGACAUACUAUGCAAUCUAAAAUAU